AGCCUUGAAGUGGCUUUCACGUCAAAAUGCAAGUUUGAAAAAGAGCCCUAAGGGGCU
This 57-nucleotide transfer RNA is filed under the name Anolis krugi. RNAcentral describes it as "tRNA-Cys". The record is from RNAcentral. Lineage: Eukaryota; Metazoa; Chordata; Lepidosauria; Squamata; Anolidae.